UACGGAGGAUGCAAGCGUUAUCCGGAAUGAUUGGGCGUAAAGCGUCCGCAGGUGGCUAUGUAAGUCUGCUGUUAAAGAGUGAGGCUCAACCUCAUAAGAGCAGUGGAAACUACAUGGCUAGAGUGCGUUCGGGGCAGAGGGAAUUCCUGGUGUAGCGGUGAAAUGCGUAGAGAUCAGGAGGAACACCGGUGGCGAAAGCGCUCUGCUAGGCCGCAACUGACACUCAUGGACGAAAGCUAGGGGAGCGAAUGGG
Molecule: ribosomal RNA, 253 nt
Filed under: uncultured bacterium
Lineage: Bacteria
Description: partial 16S ribosomal RNA
Rfam family: Bacterial small subunit ribosomal RNA
Source: RNAcentral